CGCUUUCAGCUUGUCUGGAAUCUGCAGAGAAAAAGGAUAAUGUCGCACAACAUGAUGGACUGGCUGAACUAAAGAAGAUAGAUCAGGAGGAGUUUGAAGCUGCUCAGAGAGAAAAAGCGGCUCAGAUGAACAGUAAGUUCACUGAUUUUAUAAACUCAUAAUCUGUGCAGUGCAUAUACUGUACGUAAAUGCACAUAAUCCCUAAUCCCAGCCCCUGCUUUUAUUCUCAGUUACAGUAGAAGAGGAUGAAUCACCUCGCAACCUUGGUGAGUGGAAACUACAAAUAGUCACAUUUGUAGAUCAAAAAUAAUAAUCAUAAAAAAAAAAUCAUAAAGAGACUGAUUUAGAUGUUAACACUGUUUCUAUCUGAUUUCUUCUCCAGUAGCAGAGGCCUAUGCUAACGCUGACGGUGUGUACUGUUGACAAAUAUCAUGUGGUCUUACUGUAGCUAUUAUUAUUCAACAUUACAUAACAAGGCAGUUCCUUCUCUUGCAGAGAGGGGUGGAUACGCUGACACAGCAGAUCAGAAAGGUGAGACAGCUUUUCUCGUGCUAACAGAAUCCUGCAGAUGGCAACACAAUCUCAGUGAAAUAAUUCUAACUGUACUGUGUGUUCUGACAGAAUCAGAGUCUGAGUCCUCUGAGGAGGGAAAGGAGCGUCAUGAGGUUGUUACAGAAGCAUUGAGAAACUUGGAUAAGGUCAGCAAGGAAUCAUCUGAGGAACAAGAUGGAUCAGCGUGAGAAACAUCAGUGAGGACAGGACACCAAGCCUGUUAAUAAAAGGACAACUUUUCCUCCUCCUGUGUAUCA
Molecule: long non-coding RNA, 809 nt
Filed under: Gouania willdenowi (blunt-snouted clingfish)
Lineage: Eukaryota; Metazoa; Chordata; Actinopteri; Blenniiformes; Gobiesocidae
Description: lncRNA (ENSGWIG00000019598.1)
Source: RNAcentral